CCGGAGUAUCCAGACCAAAGAGAUUAUUCCGUACCGUAACUGUACCAGCUCGAGUUCAGCUCAUCCUCAUUUCAACCAUCUCCUGACUACUGCGACCGACCUCUAUCCGGUUUUCCAGUGUAGAAUCCGCGAUAACGCAAAAGUUAAAUCCGACUGUAUUCUUUUUGUAGACUAUAUUUAAACUUUCCUGCUGUCGUCGAUGAAUCAUACGCGAAGUAUUUUAUCUCAGAAGGGCGGAAACUGGUCUGGUGGCGGGGAGGAAUUAUGUUACCGAAUGGAACUGCAACGAGAGUAUAGGACGUCCUGGGAGAUGCUGGAUUUAUUUGAUCGAGGAGAAUACUUCAAAAUGAGAAGAUCCUGCCAUGGAGAAGACGACUGGGUGGACAUAAAGUGGAAAGGAGGGGAAAUAACUCACACCAUGCAGCAGGACAGCUUCAGCUGCGGGGUCUUUGUAAUGCAGAGUUCAACAAAGCCAACAGCUGCUUCAUGUGUGCCACUGAUAAAGAACCUGGAUGUGGCCCAAAGACUGACUGGAUUGAAUGUUUUGCAUGCCAACGGUGGUUCCAUGUGCUGUAACUAGAAAUGAAGACAAAAGAGUUCAGAGUGAAGAACACAAACAGGAAGUGCAGUCUUUGUUGUUGAAAAUGUCUGCUAUACCCCAUCCACACUGAAGAGGCUCUGAAAUGUACAUCAACCAGGGAUAAAAAGAAAGUUAACACUGUGAAA
This is a long non-coding RNA of Salmo salar (Atlantic salmon), 726 nucleotides long. RefSeq lists it as uncharacterized. The record is from RefSeq and is a predicted model, not a curated record. Lineage: Eukaryota; Metazoa; Chordata; Actinopteri; Salmoniformes; Salmonidae.